GCAGUGGUCAUUCAAUGGCAGAAUUCUCACCUGCCAUGUGGGAGACCUGGGUUCGAUUCCCAGCCAGUGCU
RNAcentral lists this transfer RNA (71 nucleotides) under Loxodonta africana (African savanna elephant). It matches the Rfam family "tRNA". Rfam says of the family: Transfer RNA (tRNA) molecules are approximately 80 nucleotides in length. Their secondary structure includes four short double-helical elements and three loops (D, anti-codon, and T loops). The record is from Rfam by way of RNAcentral. Lineage: Eukaryota; Metazoa; Chordata; Mammalia; Proboscidea; Elephantidae.